UUUUGGACAAUGGGGGCAACCCUGAUCCAGCAAUGCCGCGUGAGUGAAGAAGGCCUUCGGGUUGUAAAGCUCUUUUGUCAGGGAAGAAACACCGGCUCUAACACAGUACGGGAAUGACGGUACCUGAAGAAUAAGCACCGGCUAACUACGUGCCAGCAGCCGCGGUAAUACGUAGGGUGCAAGCGUUAAUCGGAAUUACUGGGCGUAAAGCGUGCGCAGGCGGUUAUACAAGACAGGCGUGAAAUCCCCGGGCUUAACCUGGGAAUGGCGCCUGUGACUGUAUAGCUAGAGUGUGUCAGAGGGGGGUAGAAUUCCACGUGUAGCAGUGAAAUGCGUAGAUAUGUGGAGGAAUACCAAUGGCGAAGGCAGCCCCCUGGGAUAACACUGACGCUCAUGCACGAA
Molecule: ribosomal RNA, 402 nt
Filed under: uncultured bacterium
Lineage: Bacteria
Description: bacterial SSU rRNA
Rfam family: Bacterial small subunit ribosomal RNA
Source: RNAcentral